RNAcentral lists this ribosomal RNA (253 nucleotides) under uncultured bacterium. Its description in RNAcentral is "partial 16S ribosomal RNA". It matches the Rfam family "Bacterial small subunit ribosomal RNA", at positions 524 to 776 of the family's 1533-position model. The record is from RNAcentral.
UACGAAGGGGGCUAGCGUUAAUCGGAAUUACUGGGCGUAAAGCGUGCGCAGGCGGUUUUGUAAGCCAGGGGUGAAAUCCCCGGGCUCAACCUGGGAAUGGCAUUUGGGACUGCAAGGCUGGAGUGCGGCAGAGGAGACUGGAAUUCCUGGUGUAGCAGUGAAAUGCGUAGAUAUCAGGAGGAAUACCGAUGGCGAAGGCAGGUCUCUGGGCUGACACUGACGCUCAUGCACGAAAGCGUGGGGAGCAAACAGG